RNAcentral lists this ribosomal RNA (254 nucleotides) under uncultured bacterium. RNAcentral's name for it is "partial 16S ribosomal RNA". It matches the Rfam family "Bacterial small subunit ribosomal RNA", at positions 524 to 776 of the family's 1533-position model. The record is from RNAcentral.
UACGGAGGGGGCUAGCGUUGUUCGGAAUUAUUGGGCGUAAAGAGCUCGUAGGCGGUUUGUCGCGUCUGCCGUGAAAGUCCGGGGCUCAACUCCGGAUCUGCGGUGGGUACGGGCAGACUAGAGUAUUGCAGGGGAGACUGGAAUUCCUGGUGUAGCGGUGAAAUGCGCAGAUAUCAGGAGGAACACCGAUGGCGAAGGCAGGUCUCUGGGCCACUACUGACGCUGAGAAAGCGAAAGCAUGGGGAGCGAACAGG